Molecule: ribosomal RNA, 500 nt
Filed under: uncultured bacterium
Lineage: Bacteria
Description: partial 16S ribosomal RNA
Rfam family: Bacterial small subunit ribosomal RNA
Source: RNAcentral
AUUGAACGCUGGCGGCAUGCCUUACACAUGCAAGUCGAACGGCAGCGCGGACUUCGGUCUGGCGGCGAGUGGCGAACGGGUGAGUAGCAUAUCGGAACGUGCCCUGGAGUGGGGGAUAACUAGUCGAAAGAUUAGCUAAUACCGCAUACGUCCUGAGGGAGAAAGUGGGGGAUCGCAAGACCUUAUGCUCGUGGAGCGGCCGAUAUCUGAUUAGCUAGUUGGUGGGGUAGAGGCCUACCAAGGCGACGAUCAGUAGCUGGUCUGAGAGGACGACCAGCCACACUGGGACUGAGACACGGCCCAGACUCCUACGGGAGGCAGCAGUGGGGAAUUUUGGACAAUGGGGGCAACCCUGAUCCAGCAAUGCCGCGUGUGUGAAGAAGGCCUUCGGGUUGUAAAGCACUUUUGUCCGGAAAGAAAUCGUCCUGGCUAAUACCUGGGAUGGAUGACGGUACUGGAAGAAUAAGCACCGGCUAACUACGUGCCAGCCGCCGCAGUAA